AGUGAACGCUGGCGGUAGGCCUAACACAUGCAAGUCGAACGGCAGCACAGUAAGAGCUUGCUCUUACGGGUGGCGAGUGGCGGACGGGUGAGGAAUACAUCGGAAUCUACUUUUUCGUGGGGGAUAACGUAGGGAAACUUACGCUAAUACCGCAUCCGACCUACGGGUGAAAGCAGGGGAUCUUCGGACCUUGCGCGAUUGAAGGAGCCGAUGUCGGAUUAGCUAGUUGGCGGGGUAAAGGCCAACCAAGGCGACGAUCCGUAGCGGGGGUGAGAGGAUGAGCGGCCACACUGGAACUGAGACACGGUCCAGACUCCUACGGGAGGCAGCAGUGGGGAAUAUUGGACAAUGGGCGCAAGCCUGAUCCAGCCAUACCGCGUGGGUGAAGAAGGCCUUCGGGUUGUAAAGCCCUUUUGUUGGGAAAGAAAAGCAGCAGGUUAAUACCCCGCUGUUCUGACGGUACCCAAAGAAUAAGCACCGGCUAACUUCGUG
RNAcentral lists this ribosomal RNA (492 nucleotides) under uncultured bacterium. RNAcentral describes it as "partial 16S ribosomal RNA". It matches the Rfam family "Bacterial small subunit ribosomal RNA", at positions 29 to 507 of the family's 1533-position model. The record is from RNAcentral.